Molecule: ribosomal RNA, 1346 nt
Filed under: metagenome
Description: bacterial LSU rRNA
Rfam family: Bacterial large subunit ribosomal RNA
Source: RNAcentral
UGAGUGCGAGCUGCUACGGCAGCGAAGUUGGUGAUGUCAUGCUUCCAAGAAAAGCCCUAUACCCGUUAAGGCAUCAUGGCCUGUACCCGAAACCGACACAGGUGGGGUGGUAGAGAAUACCGAGGGGCGCGAGGUAACUCUCUCUAAGGAACUCGGCAAAAUGGCCCCGUAACUUCGGGAGAAGGGGUGCCACCGCAAGGUGGUCGCGGUGAAGAGGCCCAGGCGACUGUUUACCAAAAACACAGGUCUCCGCUAAGUCGCAAGACGAUGUAUGGGGGCUGACGCCUGCCCAGUGCCGGAAGGUUAAGGAAGCUGGUCAGCGCAAGCGAAGCUAGCGACUGAAGCCCCGGUGAACGGCGGCCGUAACAAUAACGGUCCUAAGGUAGCGAAAUUCCUUGUCGGGUAAGUUCCGACCCGCACGAAAGGCGUAACGAUCUGGGCGCUGUCUCGGAGAGAGGCUCGGCGAAAUAGAAUUGUCUGUGAAGAUGCGGACUACGUGCACCCGGACAGAAAGACCCUAUGAAGCUUUACUGUAGCUUGGUAUUGUGCCCGGGCUCGCAAUGCGCAGGAUAGGUGGGAGGCUUUGAUCAUCGGCUUGCGGGUCGAUGUGAGCCAACGGUGAGAUACCACUCUUUGCGAGCUAGGGUUCUAACGGCCACCCGUCAUCCGGGGGCCGGACAGUACCUGGUGGGCAGUUUGACUGGGGCGGUCGCCUCCUAAAAGGUAACGGAGGCGCGCAAAGGUUUGCUCAGGCUGGUUGGAAAUCAGCCGACGAGUGUAAAAGCAGAAGCAAGCUUGACUGUGAGACCAACAAGUCGAACAGGGAGGAAACUCGGCUUUAGUGAUCCGACGGUUCUGAGUGGAAGGGCCGUCGCUCAACGGAUAAAAGUUACUCUAAGGAUAACAGGCUGAUCUCCCCCAAGAGUUCACAUCGACGGGGAGGUUUGGCACCUCGAUGUCGGCUCAUCGCAACCUGGGGCUGAAGUCGGUCCCAAGGGUUGGGCUGUUCGCCCAUUAAAGCGGUACGCGAGCUGGGUUCAGAACGUCGUGAGACAGUUCGGUCCAUAUCCGGUGCACGCGCAGGAAUAUUGAGAGGAUUUCUCCCUAGUACGAGAGGACCGGGAGGAACGCACCUCUGGUGUACCAGUUAUCGUGCCAACGGUAAACGCUGGGUAGCCAUGUGCGAAGUGGAUAACCGCUGAAAGCAUCUAAGUGGGAAGCCCACCUCAAGAUGAGUAUUCCCAUGGCGUAAGCCAGUAAGGUCACGGGAAGAACACCCGUUGAUAGGCUCUAUGUGGAAGCGCAGUAAUGCGUGAAGCAGAGGAGUACUAAUAGACCGAGGGCUU